AACGAACGCUGGCGGCAUGCCUAACACAUGCAAGUCGAACGAGACCUUCGGGUCUAGUGGCGCACGGGUGCGUAACGCGUGGGAACCUGCCCUUAGGUUCGGAAUAACUCCCCGAAAGGGGUGCUAAUACCGGAUAAUGUCUUCGGACCAAAGAUUUAUCGCCUUUGGAUGGGCCCGCGUUGGAUUAGCUAGUUGGUAGGGUAAAAGCCUACCAAGGCGACGAUCCAUAGCUGGUCUGAGAGGAUGAUCAGCCACACUGGGACUGAGACACGGCCCAGACUCCUACGGGAGGCAGCAGUGGGGAAUAUUGGACAAUGGGCGAAAGCCUGAUCCAGCAAUGCCGCGUGAGUGAUGAAGGCCUUAGGGUUGUAAAGCUCUUUUACCGGGGAUGAUAAUGACAGUACCGGGAGAAUAAGCGCCGGCUAACUCCGUG
This 433-nucleotide ribosomal RNA is filed under the name uncultured bacterium. RNAcentral's name for it is "partial 16S ribosomal RNA". It matches the Rfam family "Bacterial small subunit ribosomal RNA", at positions 29 to 507 of the family's 1533-position model. The record is from RNAcentral.